This 535-nucleotide ribosomal RNA is filed under the name uncultured bacterium. RNAcentral's name for it is "bacterial SSU rRNA". It matches the Rfam family "Bacterial small subunit ribosomal RNA", at positions 791 to 1339 of the family's 1533-position model. The record is from RNAcentral.
UAGUCCACGCCGUAAACGAUGGAUACUAGCUGUUUGGGGUAUCGACCCCCUGAGUAGCGAAGCUAACGCGUUAAGUAUCCCGCCUGGGGAGUACGGUCGCAAGAUUAAAACUCAAAGGAAUUGACGGGGACCCGCACAAGCGGUGGAGCGUGUUGUUUAAUUGGAUGAUAAGCCAAGAACCUUACCCAGACUUGACAUCCUUGGAAUUUUUUAGAAAUAAAGAAGUGCCUUUGGAACCAAGUGACAGGUGUUGCAUGGCCGUCGUCAGCUCGUGUCGUGAGAUGUUAGGUUAAGUCCUUCAACGAGCGCAACCCUUAUGAUUAGUUGGAUUUUUCUAGUCAGACUGCCUCGGUAACGGGGAGGAAGGAGGGGAUGAUGUCAGGUCCGUAUUACCCUUACGUCUGGGGGCUACAAACGCGCUACAAUGGCCGGUACAGAGGGCAGCAAAGCAGCAAUGUGGAGCAAAUCCCAUCAAAGCCGGUCCCAGUUCGGAUUGGAGGCUGAAACUCGCCUCCAUGAAGUCGGAAUCGCUAGU